Salarias fasciatus (jewelled blenny) is the source of this 434-nucleotide long non-coding RNA. RefSeq lists it as uncharacterized. NCBI's taxonomy places the organism in Eukaryota, Metazoa, Chordata, Actinopteri, Blenniiformes, Blenniidae. The transcript has 3 exons. The record is from RefSeq and is a predicted model, not a curated record.
AGAGAGGAGGAAGAAGAGUGGUUCAGAGGCAGGGUCAGCCAAGGGGUGGAAAUACCGAGCUGUUUUAUCCUUCCUCGACCCCCACAUCGCCCCACGGGAGACGUCAGGCAACAUGCUGUUGCCAAGGGUCGAGGAAGAGGAGGAAGCAGGGUAUGACCACCCAGAAGAGCCACAGGAAGAAGCAGGAGCAGGGAUGUCAGAACUUGCUGACAUAGGACCUGGGACAGAACCAUCCUCUUCUAACCCAGAGUCACCUGUGCCUGCUGCUGCUGCUUCUUCUGCCUCUUCUGCGCAGGCUGGCCCUUCAUCUGCUCCUACACCUUCAGGGCCACCUCGUAAGAGGCAAAGAAGAAGGCUCCAGGACCGCUCAGAGCCAUCAGCGUUUGAGCGGGAGUUGCUGGCAGAACUGAGGAAACCUUACUCAGAAGAUGAGC